GGAGAAUUGGUUAAAGAGAUAUUUGGCCGAGCUCUUCGCUUUACGGAAACGCGAGAAAAACAAACGCUUUCACAACACACAUGAGCAAUCGCUCAUCUUUAUUUAUUCAUCCGUAUUGAGGAAUAAUCCGUUAGUCUAAGAGGACCGUGUGACACGAACAUUCAAAUUUUCCCGCCGGAUGGUGACUCGUCCUCUUUCGCUCCGGGACCGUCAUGCGUCACCCGAUCAACAACUCAGAAACACAACAAUAUCUUUGGGUUGGUCAACCAGCAGGUUGUUCCUUAAUACCGAAAUUACGGUGCUCCGACUACAAACAUCGCAAGGAUAUUGGAGGUCUCGGAGCAACGAAAGAGCCAACAAGGGACGGCAACAAAACCGAAAAUUGAUAAGUGAUCUGAUCUUUCUUUGGAAAUAUUGUUGCGAAUACUUAAAUCGAACUAUCUGUAAGAGUGUGAGAGAAUGAGUGAGUAGUAGCGUGAAUUCCUACGAUUCGAUUUGACCAAAAAUAUACAUGUACUAACAAAUAUCUCUUUGAUGGAAUAUUUCGUUCCUCUAUUAAUAUGUAAAUAUAAUUCCACAACACAA
This is a long non-coding RNA of Venturia canescens, 585 nucleotides long. RefSeq lists it as uncharacterized. The record is from RefSeq and is a predicted model, not a curated record. Lineage: Eukaryota; Metazoa; Arthropoda; Insecta; Hymenoptera; Ichneumonidae. The transcript is spliced from 2 exons.